UAAUACGUACUGCGCGAACGUUAUUCGGAAUCACUGGGCUUACAGGGUGCGUAGGCGGCUUUUCAGGUCUGGUGUGAAAUCCCCCGGCUCAACCGGGGAAUGGCAUUGGAAACCGAAAGGCUCGAGGUAGCUAGAGGCAUGCGGAACUUCCGGUGGAGCGGUGAAAUGUGUUGAGAUCGGAAGGAACACCAGAGGCGAAAGCGGCAUGCUGGGG
This 214-nucleotide ribosomal RNA is filed under the name uncultured bacterium. RNAcentral describes it as "partial 16S ribosomal RNA". It matches the Rfam family "Bacterial small subunit ribosomal RNA", at positions 521 to 734 of the family's 1533-position model. The record is from RNAcentral.